AUGAACGCUGGCGGCGUGCUUAACCCAUGCAAGUCGAACGAAGCAUUUAAGACAGAUUACUUCGGUUUGAAGUCUUUUAUGACUGAGUGGCGGACGGGUGAGUAACGCGUGGGUAACCUGCCUCAUACAGGGGGAUAGCAGCUGGAAACGGCUGGUAAUACCGCAUAAGCGCACAGUACCACAUGGUACAGUGUGAAAAACUCCGGUGGUAUGAGAUGGACCCGCGUCUGAUUAGCUUGUUGGCGGGGUAACGGCCCACCAAGGCGACGAUCAGUAGCCGACCUGAGAGGGUGACCGGCCACAUUGGGACUGAGACACGGCCCAGACUCCUACGGGAGGCAGCAGUGGGGAAUAUUGCACAAUGGAGGAAACUCUGAUGCAGCGACGCCGCGUGAGUGAAGAAGUAGUUCGCUAUGUAAAGCUCUAUCAGCAGGGAAGAUAGUGACGGUACCUGACGAAGAAGCUCCGGCUAAAUACGUG
RNAcentral lists this ribosomal RNA (480 nucleotides) under uncultured bacterium. Its description in RNAcentral is "partial 16S ribosomal RNA". It matches the Rfam family "Bacterial small subunit ribosomal RNA", at positions 29 to 507 of the family's 1533-position model. The record is from RNAcentral.